This 237-nucleotide ribosomal RNA is filed under the name uncultured bacterium. RNAcentral describes it as "partial 16S ribosomal RNA". It matches the Rfam family "Bacterial small subunit ribosomal RNA", at positions 976 to 1223 of the family's 1533-position model. The record is from RNAcentral.
AAGGCUUGACAUGUUCGGCAAAGUUGCUGAAAGGCAAUAGAGGUUAUCCGAACACAGGUGCUGCAUGGCCGUCGUCAGUUCGUGCCGUGAGGUGUAUGGUUAAGUCCUAUAACGAACGCAACCCUUGGGCUUAGUUACCAGCAUUCAUUGGGGACUCUAAGCCGACUGCCCGAGUAAUCGGGAGAAGGAAGGAUGACGUCUGGUCGUCAUGGCCCUUAUGCCUUGGGCGACACACGU